UACGUAGGGUGCGAGCGUUAAUCGGAAUUACUGGGCGUAAAGCGUGCGCAGGCGGUUUUGUAAGCCAGGUGUGAAAUCCCCGGGCUCAACCUGGGAAUGGCAUUUGGGACUGCAAGGCUGGAGUGCGGCAGAGGAGACUGGAAUUCCUGGUGUAGCAGUGAAAUGCGUAGAUAUCAGGAGGAAUACCGAUGGCGAAGGCAGAUCUCUGGGCCGUAACUGACGCUGAGGAGCGAAAGCAUGGGGAGCGAACAGG
This 253-nucleotide ribosomal RNA is filed under the name uncultured bacterium. RNAcentral describes it as "partial 16S ribosomal RNA". It matches the Rfam family "Bacterial small subunit ribosomal RNA", at positions 524 to 776 of the family's 1533-position model. The record is from RNAcentral.